ACGAACGCUGGCGGCGUGCCUAAUACAUGCAAGUCGAGCGGAUCUUUGAGAGCUUGCUCUCAAAGAUUAGCGGCGGACGGGUGAGUAACACGUGGGUAACCUGCCUGUAAGAUUGGGAUAACUCCGGGAAACCGGAGCUAAUACCGGAUAACAUUUUGAACCGCAUGGUUCGAAAUUGAAAGGUGGCUUUUGCUACCACUUACAGAUGGACCCGCGGCGCAUUAGCUAGUUGGUGAGGUAAUGGCUCACCAAGGCAACGAUGCGUAGCCGACCUGAGAGGGUGAUCGGCCACACUGGGACUGAGACACGGCCCAGACUCCUACGGGAGGCAGCAGUAGGGAAUCUUCCGCAAUGGACGAAAGUCUGACGGAGCAACGCCGCGUGAGUGAUGAAGGCCUUCGGGUCGUAAAGCUCUGUUGUUAGGGAAGAACAAGUACCGUUCAAAUAGGGCGGUACCAUGACGGUACCUAACCAGAAAGCCACGGCUAACUACGUGCCAGCAGCCGCGGUAAUACGUAGGUGGCAAGCGUUGUCCGGAAUUAUUGGGCGUAAAGGGCUCGCAGGCGGUUCCUUAAGUCUGAUGUGAAAGCCCACGGCUCAACCGUGGAGGGUCAUUGGAAACUGGGGAACUUGAGUACAGAAGAGGAGAGUGGAAUUCCACGUGUAGCGGUGAAAUGCGUAGAGAUGUGGAGGAACACCAGUGGCGAAGGCGACUCUCUGGUCUGUAACUGACGCUGAGGAGCGAAAGCGUGGGGAGCGAACAGGAUUAGAUACCCUGGUAGUCCACGCCGUAAACGAUGAGUGCUAAGUGUUAGAGGGUUUCCGCCCUUUAGUGCUGCAGCAAACGCAUUAAGCACUCCGCCUGGGGAGUACGGUCGCAAGACUGAAACUCAAAGGAAUUGACGGGGGCCC
This 912-nucleotide ribosomal RNA is filed under the name uncultured Bacillus sp. Its description in RNAcentral is "bacterial SSU rRNA". It matches the Rfam family "Bacterial small subunit ribosomal RNA", at positions 29 to 922 of the family's 1533-position model. Lineage: Bacteria; Bacillati; Bacillota; Bacilli; Caryophanales; Bacillaceae. The record is from RNAcentral.